Non-coding RNA from Notechis scutatus (mainland tiger snake), 218 nucleotides. NCBI's taxonomy places the organism in Eukaryota, Metazoa, Chordata, Lepidosauria, Squamata, Elapidae. The record is from RefSeq and is a predicted model, not a curated record.
CCUUCCCCAGAGCCCCGUUCCUCCAGCUCUGCCAGGAGCAAACUCUGGACAGGGAUCAUGGGGGCCGUGAUAGGAGCGGCCUUCCUGGCUUUGGGGCUCUUCUCCUACCUGAAGAGCAAGAAAGCCACUCCCAUCCAACCUCCUGCAGGUGAGUUUCUCCUCUUCCUCCUUCAUCUCAGCCCCUCCUACAAGUUAUAGGUGUUUUUUUUAAUAUUUUU